RNAcentral lists this ribosomal RNA (490 nucleotides) under uncultured bacterium. RNAcentral describes it as "partial 16S ribosomal RNA". It matches the Rfam family "Bacterial small subunit ribosomal RNA", at positions 30 to 507 of the family's 1533-position model. The record is from RNAcentral.
AUUGAACGCUGGCGGCAGGCCUAACACAUGCAAGUCGAACGGUAACAGGAAGCAGCUUGCUGCUUCGCUGACGAGUGGCGGACGGGUGAGUCAUGUCUGGGAAACUGCCUGAUGGAGGGGGAUAACUACUGGAAACGGUAGCUAAUACCGCAUAACGUCGCAAGACCAAAGAGGGGGACCUUAGGGCCUCUUGCCAUCGGAUGUGCCCAGAUGGGAUUAGCUAGUAGGUGGGGUAACGGCUCACCUAGGCGACGAUCCCUAGCUGGUCUGAGAGGAUGACCAGCCACACUGGAACUAAGACACGGUCCAGACUCCUACGGGAGGCAGCAGUGGGGAAUAUUGCACAAUGGGCGCAAGCCUGAUGCAGCCAUGCCGCGUGUAUGAAGAAGGCCUUCGGGUUGUAAAGUACUUUCAGCGGGGAGGAAGGGAGUAAAGUUAAUACCUUUGCUCAUUGACGUUACCCGCAGAAGAAGCACCGGCUAACUCCGUG